UAUCCAGCUUGCUAUUGCUUUCUCCAACUUGUUAUGUAGGCGCUUUUAUUUUUUCUACUAUUGGACGGGUGGCAAUGGGUUGCCUGUGCGUCUUAAUAAAGGCAAAAAGCCUUGGGGACGCUGGAUCUGGUACUCUCUCCUUUUUCCAUAUGUCUGGGAAUGCUGAGUGCCUCAUCAUUCUUCUUACCCUCUCCGCUAGCUUAAAUGUUGGGUUUGCUGGUAGUUUUUCUGAUUUUGAAUCCUCUAUAUAUUGCCUCAAAAAUGCAUUGUAUUCAUGAUGUUUCAUCAAUACCAUCUUCUUGGUUUUGUCUUCCCUCGUGAAG
RNAcentral lists this long non-coding RNA (323 nucleotides) under Androctonus crassicauda. Lineage: Eukaryota; Metazoa; Arthropoda; Arachnida; Scorpiones; Buthidae. The record is from RNAcentral.